CGGCGAGUGAAGCGGCAACAGCUCAAAUUUGAAAUCUGGCCUCGGCCCGAGUUGUAAUUUGCAGAGGAUGCUUCUGGCGCGGUGCCUUCCGAGUUCCCUGGAACGGGACGCCACAGAGGGUGAGAGCCCCGUAUGGUCGGACACCAAGCCUGUGUGAAGCUCCUUCGACGACUUCGAGUAGUUUGGGAAUGCUGCUCUAAAUGGGAGGUAAAUCUCUUCUAAAGCUAAAUACCCUCUCAGAGACCGAUAGCGCACAACGUAGAGUGAUCGAAAGAUGAAAAGCACCUUGAAAAGGGGGUUAAAUAGUACGUGAAAUUGUUGAAAGGGAAGCACUUGUGACCAGACUUGGGCCGGGCGGCUCAUCAGGGGUUCUCCCCUGUGCACUCCGCCCGGCACAGGCCAGCAUCGGUUCUCGUGGGGGGAUAAGACCGUCAGGAACGUAGCACCCUCCGGGGUGUGUUAUAGCCUGGCGGACGAUACCCCCGUGGGGACGAGGUCGCGCUCCGCAAGGAUGCUGCUAAUGGUCACCA
RNAcentral lists this ribosomal RNA (530 nucleotides) under Phomopsis sp. MAFF 237040. RNAcentral describes it as "eukaryotic LSU rRNA". It matches the Rfam family "Eukaryotic large subunit ribosomal RNA", at positions 87 to 643 of the family's 3401-position model. The record is from RNAcentral. Lineage: Eukaryota; Fungi; Ascomycota; Sordariomycetes; Diaporthales; Diaporthaceae.